RNAcentral lists this small nuclear RNA (107 nucleotides) under Dasypus novemcinctus (nine-banded armadillo). Lineage: Eukaryota; Metazoa; Chordata; Mammalia; Cingulata; Dasypodidae. The record is from RNAcentral.
AUGAUCACUUCGGCAGCAUAUAUACUAAAAUUGGAACGAUACAGAGAAGAUUAACGUGGCCCCUGUGCAAGGAUGACAUGCAAAUUCAUUAAACAUUCCAUAUUUUU